Molecule: long non-coding RNA, 507 nt
Filed under: Nicotiana benthamiana
Lineage: Eukaryota; Viridiplantae; Streptophyta; Magnoliopsida; Solanales; Solanaceae
Description: long non-coding RNA (NBEN_LNC037115)
Source: RNAcentral
UCACUAAAUGUUGAUUUUCUACUUCCUUCUUGAGAUUGCCUAAACCGCUGGUCAAGUACUCGCGCUUGAACUCGAACAAGAGCUUGCAUACAUCUUAGAGUCAUCUUCGCUUGUUUGCGAACAUUGUGACCUCUCACUAAAGCUUGCAAUUUCACUAGACCUUUUAGUGCUUUUAGAGCCCUUCUUGCCUUACAAUCAUAACAUAAGCAAUUCAUUCAAUCAGCCAAGUUUCUCAAGUUUACAUGUCUUGGCAAAGAGAUAAUUUCCUAUAUUGGAUAAUGUAAGAGAAACCAUUCUUCUUUUGCUCAUUCUGUAAUUAAGACACUCAAAUGCCAUUUUUAAAUGAAGAAUUAACCAAAAUAGUCGCUCACCUAGUUUCUUAAAUAAGAGCUUGCAUACAUCUAAGAGUCAUCUUCGCUUGUUUCCGAACAUUGUGACCUCUCACUAAAGCUUGCAAUUUCACUAGACCUUUUAGUGCUUUUAGAGCCCUUCUUGCCUUACAAUCAC